ACGAACGCUGGCGGCGUGCUUAACACAUGCAAGUCGAACGGAAAGGCCCUGCUUGCAGGGUACUCGAGUGGCGAACGGGUGAGUAACACGUGGGUGAUCUGCCCUGCACUUCGGGAUAAGCCUGGGAAACUGGGUCUAAUACCGGAGAGGAGCCAUUUUUAGUGUGAUGGUUGGAAAGUUUUUUCGGUGUAGGAUGAGCUCGCGGCCUAUCAGCUUGUUGGUGGGGUAAUGGCCUACCAAGGCGGCGACGGGUAGCCGGCCUGAGAGGGUGGACGGCCACAUUGGGACUGAGAUACGGCCCAGACUCCUACGGGAGGCAGCAGUGGGGAAUAUUGCACAAUGGGCGCAAGCCUGAUGCAGCGACGCCGCGUGGGGGAUGACGGCCUUCGGGUUGUAAACUCCUUUCGCUAGGGACGAAGCUUUUUGUGACGGUACCUAGAUAAGAAGCACCGGCUAACUACGUG
RNAcentral lists this ribosomal RNA (464 nucleotides) under uncultured bacterium. RNAcentral's name for it is "partial 16S ribosomal RNA". It matches the Rfam family "Bacterial small subunit ribosomal RNA", at positions 29 to 507 of the family's 1533-position model. The record is from RNAcentral.